This 387-nucleotide long non-coding RNA is filed under the name Dasypus novemcinctus (nine-banded armadillo). RNAcentral's name for it is "lncRNA (ENSDNOG00000052632.1)". The record is from RNAcentral. Lineage: Eukaryota; Metazoa; Chordata; Mammalia; Cingulata; Dasypodidae.
CUCGAUGGUCCUGAGCCUGCUGUCCAGGACGUAGUUUUCGAGGUCCUCCAGGAGAUCAGCACCCUGUUCCCUGACCUCCUGGUGCUGGAGGUGGAGGCUGUGAUCCACCGGCACAGCUCUCUCGCCCAGUUUGUUGGGAUCUGAGACCAUAACUGAAUGGCAUCUUCUCCUGCGGGCUCAGGAGGGCUGCCUCUGUCCUGCUCAUGUGCCACCCAGGAAGUUCUUGACUAUUGGGGAAAAGAGCCAAAGUAAAUGAAAAGGUCCCAGGAUCGGUUUCCAGUGCCACCUAAAGAGAAGACAAGCAGACACAGAAGAACACACAGUGAGUGGACACAGAGAGCAGACACCAGGGGGCUGGGGGGAAGAACAAAUAAAUGAAAAAACAAA